CUGAUGUUAUGGGUAGCUGUAUAGUCUUAGAAGGUGUCAAAGAUUCCUGAACUGAUCCACAACAUUACAUCAUCCAGUUGAAAUUCACCCAGGGGAGGUACCUGGGUGUUCCUACCUGACCUGGAGUGAAUAAAAACCCAGCAGAUGUUGUGUUUUGGGGAUUUUUCCCCACCACUUCUUGAGAAGUUCUCCCACCACAUGAUGGAUCCAGUCUGCAACUAUCACUUUGACCAAGAAACAUGAAAAUUGCAACAACCAAGUCUCAUUGUGAGGCCUACAGGUGGCAUUUCUACUCUUAUCCUUUCCUUCUCCUUCUUACCCAUUUUCUUAAGCAGUAUUUUUAUGCUUUUGUAUUGCCAUAUAUAACAAUAACAAAAAUGGCUGUUUUAAAUACAACCAAAUAGUUCUACAAUAAACUCUACAUGUGUAUAUUUGCAAACACCUCUCAUUCAGUGUCAUUUCACUCCAGUUUGCCCCAAGAGAUCUAUUAGCAAGAACCUGAGCUAUCCUUGCCUUCUGCACAGGGUUCGAACACAAGUGGUGAGGUGUCUGCUGCAAGCUUUUUCUCCUCAAAAUGCACUUGGAUACCAGACCUUGGUAACAUGAGUUAAUCUAAAGUACUUAGACUCUAAAAAACUAAAACAUCAAAUAUAAAUCAAUUCAGAAAACUCGUAGGCAGGAUCUGUGAAGAGAUGUCCUAAAUGAUAAAAGAGAUCUGGGGACUGAUAAAAGGAGUCAUAGUCCAAAUAAGAAACUAUCCUGCUGCAAGAGAAGUGAAAGGACUGUAAAUAGAGAUCAAUAAAAUGGAUCAAGAGCUCUUCAACUGCCUGAAGCAUGAGAAGAAAAAAUAUGAAACGUGGGAUGGGUAUUGGAGCAUUGCAGACUACACGUGAGCUGCCAGGGGACUUAAAGAGAGCAUGGCAACAUCACCUAACUGGUGAUGAAGAAAAACCUAGAGAAUUACAGACCUGAUAUCUCUCUGUGAAAACCUUAAGGAGCAAGCUACUGACUAGUUAUUCUCUAAUCCUCUAAGUAUUUAUAAAUUUGUAAAUAAAUGGCAGGAAUGGGUUUGUUGAAGUU
Molecule: long non-coding RNA, 1080 nt
Filed under: Taeniopygia guttata (zebra finch)
Lineage: Eukaryota; Metazoa; Chordata; Aves; Passeriformes; Estrildidae
Description: lncRNA (ENSTGUG00000029646.1)
Source: RNAcentral